CCGCGCGCCUCCGACCCUGCCGGGCCGCUUUGUGACUUCACUCGUUUCGCAACAAGCCCGGGGAGCCCGCGCCCCACCCACUCUGGCCGGCAGCCUCGCCGCCAGCAGCCUCGCUCCGCUCCUCGCCCUUCCCCUCCCUCCGGGGCUUGGCCUGCCCCGGCCCUCGCGGAGCCUCCCCUCCCACCGUCCGUGACCGUCAGUGCCCGGCCGCCGCCUCCAGGCAGCCCGGAGCAACCCGGCGCCCGGCCCCGCUGGACGCAGCACUCCGUCGGCGGCGCGAUGCUGUGCUUCCUGAGGGGAAUGGCUUUCGUCCCCUGCCUCUUGGUGACCUGGUCGACAGCAGCCUUCAUUAUCUCCUACAUGGUCGCCGUGCUGUCCGGGCACGUCAACGCCUUCCUCCCCUACAUCCGUGAUACAGGAACACCACCUCCAGAGAGUGGUAUUUUUGGAUUGAUGAUAAACUUCUCUGCAUUUCUUGGUGCAGCCACGGUGUACACAAGAUAUAAAAUCGUAGAGAAGCAAAAUCAAACCUGCUAUUUCAGCACUCCUGUUUUUAACUUGGUGUCUUUUUUUUUUUUUUUUUUUCCUGCGGGCCUGGUCUUUAGUGCUUGAUUGUGCAUGUUUCGGAUGUGCUUGCCGAUUUUGAGGAGUUGCUGUGCCUUUUCGGCCUUUGUCUGUGGUGUCGUGUACACGCUUCUACAGUCCAUCCUAUCUUACAAGUAAUAUCCCGAGUGGAACAGUCUCUCGACAUGCCGCAUACGGAUGUUCAUCGCUGCCGUUUCUUGCGCAGCUGUCAUCCCCAUGAUUGUCUGUGCUUCACGAAUUUCCAUAACCAAGCUGGAGUGGAAUACAAGAGAAAAGGAUUGUGUAUAUCACCUAGUGAGUGCGAUCUGCGAAUGGACAGUGGCCUUUGGUUUUAUUUUCUACUUCCUAACUUUCAUCCAAGAUUUCCAGAGUGUCACCCAAAGGGUAUCCGCAGAAAUCAAUGAGGAUAUUUGA
RNA transcript from Nomascus leucogenys (northern white-cheeked gibbon), 999 nucleotides. It is a transcript of the gene named DNA damage-regulated autophagy modulator protein 1-like, with no coding region annotated. The record is from RefSeq and is a predicted model, not a curated record. The transcript has 2 exons. Lineage: Eukaryota; Metazoa; Chordata; Mammalia; Primates; Hylobatidae.